Molecule: long non-coding RNA, 621 nt
Filed under: Monomorium pharaonis (pharaoh ant)
Lineage: Eukaryota; Metazoa; Arthropoda; Insecta; Hymenoptera; Formicidae
Description: uncharacterized LOC114255524, transcript variant X1
Source: RNAcentral
ACAUCGCUGAUCGGCGAACGGUCAACAUCACCUGGAGCGCACCACGAAGAGGACCGUGCCUGCUCUCACGGCGAAAUCUCAGAAUGAAGUUCCAUGGGAAAAACAUCAGAUAUUACAUUAAUACGAGGUACAUAAAGGAGAAUCUGAAAAGAAUCGAAGAAGAGGUAAAAGAAUAAAAAUGGAUGAUAAAAAGCACAAAAGAAAAUAAGAUAGCAAAGCGCAACGUCUCUUACUACGUCAAGUAUAAGAUAGGGUGGUCUUCAUCCGCAAAAGUGCCCCCCGGGAGCUGCGUCAACGUCCUACAGAAGAAGCAGAACUCCCUUCGUUUCCUGAGCCUUUGGCCUUUCAAGUUACCUCUUCACGGAUCUUCACGAAUGGGCAGGAUCACAACGGCAACGAGUUUUCUGGACGGACGUCACUCAGAUUCCGACCUUCUACCAUUCUUCUUGGGCCGUUAUGAUUUAUGGAUUCAUUAAUGCAACAUACAACACUUUCUCGGCCACGGGAAAAGGGAACGUUGAUUAACCGUUUUAUUUUUGGUGCUAAAGCAAAUGUAAGAUAUGACUAUAUCGAAUUGUUAUUUGUUUCCUUGCAAGCUGCAAAUAAAUAAAUUUCUUAAGA